This 450-nucleotide ribosomal RNA is filed under the name uncultured bacterium. RNAcentral describes it as "bacterial SSU rRNA". It matches the Rfam family "Bacterial small subunit ribosomal RNA", at positions 355 to 825 of the family's 1533-position model. The record is from RNAcentral.
UCAAGAAACUUCCACAAUGGGCGAAAGCCUGAUGGAGCGACGUCGCGUGAUGGACGAAGUGCUUCGGCACGUAAACAUCUUUUAUGUGGGAUGAAAUUAUUGACAGUACCACAUGAAUAAGGGGCUCCUAACUCUGUGCCAGCGGGAGCGGUAAUACAGAGGCCCCAAGCGUUAUCCGGAAUCACUGGGCGUAAAGGGUGUCGAGGCGGUUGUAUUAGUCGUUCGUAAAAUCUACGAGCUUAACUUGUAGGCGGCGAACGAAACGGUACGACUUGAGGUUUGGAGAGGUGCGUGGAACUCACGGUGUAGGGGUGAAAUCCGUUGAUAUCGUUGGGAACACCAAAGGCGAAGGCAGCGCACUGGCCAAAAUCUGACGCUCACACACGAAAGCUAGGGUAGCGAAGAGGAUUAGAUACCCCCGUAGUCCCUGAGCGGGCUGGCAAGGCGCAU